Molecule: long non-coding RNA, 773 nt
Organism: Hordeum vulgare subsp. vulgare (domesticated barley)
Lineage: Eukaryota; Viridiplantae; Streptophyta; Magnoliopsida; Poales; Poaceae
Exons: 2
Source: RefSeq, a predicted model, not a curated record
CCAAGCCUGAGCCCAAACCCAAGCACGACCAGUGCAUCAUCACAGUCCCUCCUAACCCAGCAACACACUGUAUCAUCCUUUAUUUUCCAUAUUGAGAUGUUUUAUGAGUUUCAUCAUGUCAUAUUGUAAGACUACAUGGAGUACACACAUCAGGAGACCAUGGCGUGUAACGGGAGAACUACAGCAGUCGUGGACCACGGAAGUCGCAUGAUGAAGGUUAGUUUAGCCCCUUUCAUUUGCACUUUCAUUUCUUCUCACCUUCAUGUUUGCUUGGUCAACUAACAUGCAUAACAUUUUUGACUCCCUGUCGUCUGACAUGCCUCCUAUAAUGGAACCACCACCACCACCUGGUGGACCAUAACUAGUGUUGGCUACGUCUGAAGAAUUUUUGGCACAACACUCUGCAACUCCGGGAACCGGUGGAUCAUCCAUUGGUGGUGGUACCAACUAUGGCAUCACUCCCGAGUCACGGAGCCCUAUCACUCCAAUGCACCGAGGAGGUGGCGGUGGUGGUCUUGACGGUAGCGGUGUCGGUAGCAGUGACGACCUCGGCUUUUGUGGUCUUGGCGGUGAUGAACUUGGUGAUGGACGUACUGGCGCUUAAGCUCUAUGUGGUGCUGGUGAUGACUUCUAUCUUUGAUGCUUCUCUACUAUGGACUUAUGUUGUGUUGUUCGACUUGUGUUGUGUUGUUCGACUUACGUUGUGUUGUUUCGACUUAUGUUGUGUUGAUUCGACUUAUGUUGUGAUGGUAAUACUUAUCUUGUGGUGAUAA